Cygnus olor (mute swan) is the source of this 1030-nucleotide long non-coding RNA. RefSeq lists it as uncharacterized. The record is from RefSeq and is a predicted model, not a curated record. The transcript is spliced from 3 exons. NCBI's taxonomy places the organism in Eukaryota, Metazoa, Chordata, Aves, Anseriformes, Anatidae.
GCCAGAGACUGGUUAUUAAUAGAGCAUGGAGGAAAGCUGCUGGAUGUUUGAAACACCUCCAUCAGAUAUGAAGAAGUAAACUGACUUUAAAGCUGGACUUCUACUGUCCCAGUUAGGUUUCAUUUGCAGUGCAAAUGAGGUGACACAGGCUCUGCACUGUCUCCUUCCUACUUAGGUUUUGCAUCAUGAAACACAGAAGCAUUUAAGCUUCAGAAUGGUGCUUGAAGAACAUACUUCAUAGGGCCACAAGCAUGCUGAUGAAAGCAUCUGAAGGAAAGCAUCUUCAGAAAUAAAACUCACCUGAUCCUUGAGAGUCGUUGCAACAGAGACAUACCAUGUGCAAUAGUGGAGGACAAUGCAAAAGCAGAUAUGCAAAUGUUCACAGUUUCCUUGAAGGCGGUUAAGAUGCAUAUCUGUAAAGCCAAGAAGUGACUGUGAGGCUGAGUCAUUAGUGCCAGCUCCUGAACAGGAAGUGUGCCAAGACAGAAUUCAGCAGAAAUAUGUUGUACCAGAUUCAUAUAAAAGCAAAUCAGGCAUAAAGCUUGUUGCUUUUAAGGGUAAUGACGACUUUUUGUACCUAGAAAAGAUAUGGCUCAGGAGCAUUCUCUAAGCUAUUAAAGUUGGAGUGAAAAGAAAAGAGUUAAAACAGACUUCAUGAUUUUGGACUGAUCCUUGUCUUAAAGCUGCAAAAGAGAAAAACUUAAUUAAUGCACGUGAUUAAUACAGUUAAUAUGGUAUGUAAGUUGGAGGAAAACUACAGUGUGUUAAAACAAGAAGGUAAACAGUGCCUGCUAUUCCUGAAAAACCGUCAUUCACUGAAUCUUUGUGGAGCAGAUUCAGCAGAAAGCAGUACUAAAGCUGUUGCUUGUGCUGGCAUAGUGAAGACUGUUACAAUUUGCUUUGUAGCAUUCCAAAAAGCCAAGACACCCAGCAGCGUCAAGAUGGAAAUUCCCUUCAAGGGCUCUCUGGUACAGGAUGGACAGAUUGUGACAAUAGUGACCAAUCCUUCACAGCUUGUUAUCCAGGCAUC